RNAcentral lists this transfer RNA (74 nucleotides) under Lacibacter cauensis. RNAcentral's name for it is "tRNA-Cys". It matches the Rfam family "tRNA". From Rfam's summary of the family: Transfer RNA (tRNA) molecules are approximately 80 nucleotides in length. Their secondary structure includes four short double-helical elements and three loops (D, anti-codon, and T loops). Lineage: Bacteria; Pseudomonadati; Bacteroidota; Chitinophagia; Chitinophagales; Chitinophagaceae. The record is from RNAcentral.
AGCUGUAUGGCCGAGUGGUGAGGUGAAAGUCUGCAAAACUUUUUACGUCGGUUCGAAUCCGACUGCAGCGUCAA